AUCUAGUUGACGAAUCCCAAAUAGGAUGGAAUGCGCGUCCUGGAU
This 45-nucleotide non-coding RNA is filed under the name Schistosoma mattheei. The record is from RNAcentral. Lineage: Eukaryota; Metazoa; Platyhelminthes; Trematoda; Strigeidida; Schistosomatidae.